CACGUAGGGUGCGAGCGUUGUCCGGAUUUAUUGGGCGUAAAGGGCCCGUAGGCGGUUUGGUAAGUCGGGUGUCAAAACUCCAGGCUCAACCUGGAGCGGCCAUCCGAUACUGCCAUGACUUGAGUCUGGUAGGGGAGUGCGGAAUUCCUGGUGUAGCGGUGAAAUGCGCAGACAUCAGGAGGAACACCGGUGGCGAAGGCGGGUCUCUGGGCCGUAACUGACGCUGAGGAGCGAAAGCGUGGGGAGCGAACAGG
Molecule: ribosomal RNA, 254 nt
Filed under: uncultured bacterium
Lineage: Bacteria
Description: partial 16S ribosomal RNA
Rfam family: Bacterial small subunit ribosomal RNA
Source: RNAcentral